UUUCCGGUUCCCCGCUCUCUCUCCAUCCAUUUACCCCUCCGAUCUGCGGCCUCGUAGGUAGAUUCGGGUCGUGGGGAUCCCGCUCCUUCUCCUAGGGUUCCGGCCAGAGCUCCAUGCAGCCGUUUCAUUUUGCGGCCUGAUCUCUGAUCUGCGAUGUUAGAAGGACUAUUUAGAUGCUACAGAUGCUCCUGGCGCUAGAUUGUUGUGGUCUCUUGUUGGUGUCCUUAGAAGUUCCAUCUGUUCUUUUUUAUGACUGGUGGUUAGCUAUGAUGGACUAUGCCUGACUCUUUCUAAUUGGUUUAAUACAGGUAUUUUUGUGCCAUAAUUUUUCCUAAUAUCUCCAAUUUGACUUCCGAUAUAAAAUUAUGUGGACCUUCCUGAAUGCUUAUGUGGACGGUUCAGCAAAUGCUCCUGGUAGUUGUUGUUUGGCAGUGCAAAAUUACUCCAAAUGAAGCAACUUGUCAUUGCCAGUUGAUACUGUCUAUCUGCUCAUGUAACUAAUGCUGCCACCAGAGUC
This is a long non-coding RNA of Brachypodium distachyon (stiff brome), 517 nucleotides long. RefSeq lists it as uncharacterized. The transcript is spliced from 2 exons. The record is from RefSeq and is a predicted model, not a curated record. NCBI's taxonomy places the organism in Eukaryota, Viridiplantae, Streptophyta, Magnoliopsida, Poales, Poaceae.